Molecule: long non-coding RNA, 907 nt
Organism: Aegilops tauschii subsp. strangulata
Lineage: Eukaryota; Viridiplantae; Streptophyta; Magnoliopsida; Poales; Poaceae
Source: RefSeq, a predicted model, not a curated record
CCCCCCCCCCCCCCCCCCCCCCCCCCGACCCCAGCGCGCUUCCCGCCGCCGGCCCUGGAUCCCCACGCGCCACCGGCCCUGGAUCCCAGCAUGCCGUCGUCGGCCCUGGAUCCCAGCCUGCCGCCCCGGCCGCUAGCCCUGGAUCCCACCACCGCGCCGCCGGGCAGUGGACCUCUGUGCGCUGCGCUUCCACGAUGGCGGACGGUAACCACCAACCCAUCAUCAUCGCCUGCAGUCCGAGCCUAUACGCCUGCACCGUUCAACUCCUUCCUCGAGUACGUCUGCGAUGGAUGCAUGCCACCCCCUGCUAUGGAUAAGGUGUGAUCCGCCGUCAUCUCCUCUCACGGGGUGCGCGACUCCCGGAGGCCGGACCACCUCGGCGCACCCUGCUGGGGAGCCGUUCAACAGGGCCACCUUCAGCACCCUCUCGGGCCGUCGUUCAACUACACCAACUGGGGGUCGUUCAACAAACUCGCCCGAUGCCGUACGAGGCCGAGUCCCAGCGAGGAGCUUGUCACCUCCUAGGCUAUGUGCUGCCUGAGGACUAUGGGCUGCUGUUCGUCAACGUCGCAACGAGACCCAUAGGUGAGGCAUCCAGGAGAGCACUCCAUCCAGGACUACAGAUUUUUGCUAAUAACAAAGUUCAUGUUGUCAGAAAAUUGAAGUCCAUUUAUAUGGAAUUAGAUGAUUGUUGUGUGUAUGCAGCUAUUAGCAGAAAUCUGUGCUGAAAACUUGUGGCUGAGCCAGGGCCCUGGAUGCUGAUAACAUUUGUAAUUUGUGCUCUGUACCUUCUGCAGACUUGGGGGAUGAAAAAAGGUGGCUCCUCCCAUGAAUUAUUGAUUCCACACUUAUGUCUGCACUUAGCAAAAAUGCAUAUGAAAUACCAUGCUCUACUGAAUUUUCAUCA